Molecule: long non-coding RNA, 275 nt
Filed under: Ananas comosus (pineapple)
Lineage: Eukaryota; Viridiplantae; Streptophyta; Magnoliopsida; Poales; Bromeliaceae
Description: long non-coding RNA (ACOM_LNC037066)
Source: RNAcentral
UUUUUCUACUCUUGCUUAGAUGAUAGAACUUUGCUCGCUCAGAUAUCACUAGUUGUUACUACUCUAUUUGUACUAUUUCUUGCUUUUACUUUCGCUUUUAUUGUAGACGCCUUAUAUGUGUUGACAUAUGGCGGGUCUGGGCGCGCUACCGGGAAGGCCCUGCCGGUCCCGGGGCGUGACAAGUGAUGAGGAGUAUGUUAUUGAAACUGAUGAAGCGGAUCAAGGGCGAAUUGAUGCUGAUUCUAGUGAUGACGAGGAACGCUUUGUUCCGUGUU